AGGAAAUAACUGGUCAGAGAGUUUCAUCGUUCCUCCGGUGGCCAGUAUUGCUGAUGAUGAUGUCAUGAACGACAAUCUUGAUCUUCUUAAUGUCCCUCAAUAUGGAAGAAAUCCCGACUACAUGGGUUAAGUGCAGCACUGCUUUUUUUUUUUUUUCUGUUUUGUUUAAUUAAAUAAAUGAUAGGUAUACUAUUACCUAUCAAUCAUGGCAAUGUCUUAGUCUGGUUUAAUUCAACUUAUAAGAUUUCUUAAGAUGUACAAGAGAUCUUUUUAUUUACUUUUGAGCUAAUUAUUUCCCUGAAAAAGGAAAUAAAUCAAUAAAAGUUAUUGUGUGUGUCAACAUAUUGGUUAUAUUAGUCUAUACACGUAGGUUUUAAUUACGAUAUCUCUUCCUAAAUAUUUUACUUUUUUUGAAACAAACUCAAAAAUUUGUUGUAUAAAAAACACUAUCACUUUCAAUCAUAUGAUGGUUACAUUUUAAUCAUUUAUUCAUAACGUCCUCCUGAUCCUCCAUUGAGGAUAUUAUAGUGUGUCAUUCUGUAACCUAGAACUAUCAUUUCUUCCACCUCUACGAUAUCUUGUAAUGUUACUUGCAGCUUCAUAAGCCACAGAAACAUCAUCAAAAUCAACAAAUUGUUUUCUUUUCUUUUUUUUUAGGAAAGUAAUAAGAAAAAUAAAAGCUGCAUUAUUCUAUUUAUGAUCAAUAGAAGAAUUCAAGUGACUGGAGAAAAUUCAGAUUGUUGAAAAUGGGUUCUCAAACGAAAUAAGCCUCAGGUAGUAGACCUCACCAACAUCAGUACCGCUAAUCUCCCUUUUCCAUUCAUUUUUCACUAUGAAAUUAAUUACUAAUUAAUCUACAGUUAGUUUCUCUACAGCUAAUAGGAACGUGAUUUAUUCCCGAAGGCUCGCAUCUUUUUUAUUCAUUAUCUACAGUGCACUCACCUCCAAUCUAUGUAUAGGCAGACAUGCAUAUUUAUUAUAUCAAAUAAGUUAUUGAUGGAAAUUUCACUUUCGAAAAUAGAGAAUUAUCCUUAAUUAAAUCUUAGUGGGCCUAAAUUCGAGUAAGAUUUAAUGAUGUAUGAUUCAAAAUUAUUGAAAUCGGACAUUUUAAACAAGAAAAAAAUAAAAAAUCUUGUUCGCUUUUUUAAAUAAUAAAUUUCAUUUUGAUGGAUUUUUAAUAUUAAAUUAGACAUUUGCUAAAUUGGCUCAAAUAUAAUAGAUCUUAGACCUUGCUUUUAAUGGAUUUAAUUAGGUUUUGGGCAUUUAAAUUAUACAACUGGAGACAGAAUUUAUAAAUAGAUAAGAUUCUAAUGUGAUUUUAAAAUAAAUUUGAACUUGAACUUGAUGCAUUGAAUUAAUCCAGAAAGGUAAAUUUAUAAUUUCAACUUUUAAAUAAAACAUAUCCUUUGGAUUUUUUACAUAAACUAGAGGCAAUUGUACAAUAUUUACUUGACUAGUGGUAUAUAUCCCAAAUUUUUUAUCCUAAGAAAUGCCACAUCAUUUGGUUGAUGAGGAUAAUAUAAUAAAUUCACUUAGAUAUUAUAAAAAAUUCUCAACCAAUCAAUUAAUAACAUAUCAUUUUCAUUGGGAUGGAAUUUGGAAAAAAAAUUUAGGACGUCUAUCAUUACUUUAGUAAGAAAGCAUAUUAAGAUGGACUAACAUGUUUGGAUGCCCCAGCCAAAGAUGCAAGAGAUCAAUUUCUUUUGUUGUCUUGAAAUCCCUACUAUUUGACUCAACAACAUUGGCAACAUUUAACUCAUUACUGCUAGAACAAAAAGAUAUCAUAGACAAAGGAUUGCUAUUGCAAUUUAUUGACUCAUACUCUAAAGAUAGAGGUAACUCAACAUCACAUUCAAUCUUGCGCUACUCAUGCACAAUAGCUCAUAUAGCCUAUCUUUAGUCACUCCUUUCACUAGGAUUUUCACUUGGCUAAAGCAAAUAGAUUUUUGAAGCACAACAUCAAUAUCAUUAUCACGGAACAAUUUUGAGACACUAAUAAGGUUCUUAGUAACGCUAGGCACAAACAACGAGCUAUUUAGUUUAAUCUGUUUGUGCGGAUCAUAAGUGAGCAAUAUAGAGUAUUCAAUAUGAGAAAUCAAAAGUUUAUCACCAUUUCCAACAGUAGCUUGUCAUUACCUUGAUAUUCUGAAUUAAAGCUCAUGCUUCCAAUAGCACUGGUUACAUGAUUUGUAGCACCACUGUCAAGGUACCAAGCUCUACUAUUCUCACCAUCAACUGCAACCACAUAUGCUCUUCUUGGAUCUCUUCUUCUAUUUGGCUAUGGAACUGAUAUGAACCCUCUUUAGAACUAACAUGACCCUAACCAAUUUAGUCUCUAAGAUUGAAACCAAUUUUUUUUUUCGAAGAGAUUGAAACCAAAUCUAAAAUUGAAUGGAACCGCGAUUUGAUGUCAAUGAAAGUACGAACCUUGGUAUGUGAUGACGCCACCGUCACCUAUGGAUGAUCUGAUUGAUAAGUCAAGAGUUUGAACACCACAGAAAUCCGAUAAGUUCAAAGGGUUAGUUUAAGAACCAAAGAGAAUUAGCUUUCUCACCAAUUGCAUCAAAAUUGAUGUCUUUCUUAUUGGAUACAAGUACCUUAGAUAGGGUUGGUUUAUAAGAAUUUUAAGAAAUAAAUCCUAAACCAAAAUCAAAUCAGAAUCCUAAUUUAAAGCAAAUAAGAAAAGAAACUAAAUCAAACCAGAAUCCUUAUUGGCUUAAAUGCCUUGCAUCAAUUAAAAAUGGAAACUAGGCAAUUAAAAGAGAAAUAAUUGAUUCAUUUUGCCACUUGCCUACUCAAGAAAUGGGAAAGUAUCCUAAAAGGAAAGUAGUAUAUUUUCCAAACGAGAAAGCAUCUGAUAAGGUAAAUAAUAUAUUUUCUAGCCAUAAUGUGCAAACCAACUUGCUGAUUUCAUGGAAAUGAUUAUGUGGAAACGUAAAAAGCCUGAAUCACUUAUUUAGUGGUCUGAAUAUCAUGUGUGAUUUCUUUAACGGGCCUCCACGAAUUUGAUUGAGCUCAAGUUGCUUAAAUCAACCCAUUAAGUGAUUUUUUGAAUUUUUUUGCACGAGCUCUUAUGAUGGGUCCAACAGGAACUUGAAUGGGAUCUGAAUAUACCUCAUCCCAUGUGCUUGUGACAGUUUUGUCCUCAAUCUCAUCAUUCCCCUCAUCUUGAAGAGGAUUUAUUCUCAAAUUGUCACAUGCAUCAAAAGAACUCAAAUUAAAAAAUUAAAAGCAGCACUUAUGUUGUACUUACCUAGCAAAUCUAGCUUGUGUGCAUUAUCAUUGAUCCAUUCUAAGACUUGGAAGGGCCAUCCCCUUGAGGUAAUAACUUGGAUUUCAUUUGUUCCAGAAAUCGUUCCUUGCGCAUGUGUAACUACACCCAAUCGCUGAGUUCAAAGACUAGCUUGUGUCGCCCUUUGUUGGCUUGUUUAGCAUAUUGUUGAGUUCUCUGUUUGAUCCGUUCUAAGACUUGGAAUGGGCCAUCCCCUCGAGGUAACAAUUUAGAUUUCAUUUGUUCCACAAAUCGUUCCUUGCGCAUGUGUAACCAUACCCAAUCGUCGAGUUCAAAGGCUAGCUUGUGUCGCCCUUUGUUGGCUUGUUUAACAUAUUGUUGAGUUCUCCGCAUGUGUAACCACACCCAAUCGCCACGUUCAUUUAUCUACUUAACAAUUUCAGUCUUUUUCUUGCCAUCUAAGUUAAGACGCUUAGAAACUAGUAAUGGAGUUAAAUCUAAUGGAGUUAAAGGAUUAAAACCGUAAACAAUUGCAAAUGGGGAAUACUCAAUUGUAGAAUGAAUAGAAUAAUUAUAAGCAAACACAACAUGUGGCAAACAAAUUUUCCAAAUUUGGACAUUCUUUUUAAUGAUAGCUUGCAACAGUGUGAAUAAAGUUCUAUUCACAACUUUUGUUUUACCAUCAGUUUGAGGCUGGCAAGUAGUUGAAAACAACAAUUUAGUUCUUAACUUAGCCCACAAUUGUUUCCAGAAGUAAUUUAAUAAUUUAGCAUCCUUAUUAGACACAAUUAUCAUAGGCAUACUAUGCAACCUCACAGUUUCCCUAGAGAAUAGGUCAAUGACAUUGGAAGCGUCAUCUGUCUUGUGGUAUAGAAUAAAAUGUGUUAUCUUAGAAAAUCUAUCCAUAACCACAAAAAUUGAGUCUUUCCCUCAUUUAGACCUAGGUAAACCUAGCACAAAAUCCAUUGAAACAUAAGUAUAAGGUGCACUAGGUAUUGGCAACGGGGUGUAUAAGCCAUAGGGCUUCACUUUCGAUUCGGGUUGCCUAUAGAUGACACAUCUACCACAAAGUCUCUCAAUAUCUCAUUUUAUAUGUGGCCAAUAGAAGUGUUCUUGCAAAACUGCUAAAGUCUUUACGACUCCAAAAUGCCCCAUCAACCCUCCUCCUUGGGUUUCUCUCACUUAUAAACCUGUCAAAGAACAAUUAGGCACACACAAUUUUUUUCCCCUAUAUAAGUAACCAUCAUGCCUAAUGCACUUACCAAUCGUGGUCUAUUCACAAGUUUGGUAUUCGACACUAAGAUCAUGGUCAUUAGCAUACAAUUCCUUAAUAUGUUCAAAAUCAAGCAGUUUAGCAUUAAGUGUCAAGAUUAAGACAUAUCUACGGGAAAACGCAUCUGUAACAAUAUUUUCCUUACCUUGUUUGUAACGAAUGAUAUAUGGAAAUGUCUCUAUGAAUUUUACCUGUCGAGCAUGCCUUUUGUUAGUUUGUGUUAGCCUUUAAGGUGUUUCAAAGACUCAUGAUCGGUGUGGAUCACGAACUCCUUAGGUCGUAGGUAGUGUUGCCACAUUUCUAACACUCGAACCAAUUCAUACAACUCAUUAUUGUAAGUAGGGCAGUAUAACGCUGCCUUAUUUAGUUUCUCAUUGAAGUAAGUAAUUAGUCGUCCCUCCUGCAUUAGGAUUGUGCCUAUACCAAUACUUGAAACACGUUAUCUUGUUUUUCUCCCUACUUGAAUCCAACAUCUUUUUUUAUUACUUCGGCAAGCGGUGUAGCAAACAACAUUUCUUUUCUAAGCACAUCUAAAACAGAUUUCAAAUGUACUUCAUGUUGGUUGAAGUUUUUGCUAUAUAUGAUGAUAUCAUCAAAAUAAAUAACAAAAAACUUGCCAAUAAAAGCUUGCAAAACAUGAUUCAUAAGUCUCAUAAAAGUGCUUGGAGCAUUAGUCAGACCAAAAGGCAUGACUAACCAUUUGUACAAACUAUAUUUUACUUUAAAGGCAGUUUUCCAUUCAUUUCCUUCUUUCAUUCUGAUACGAUGAUAUCCACUUUUCAGAUCAAUUAUAGAAAAUACACAAUACUCAUGCAAUUCAUCAAGCAUAUUGUCAUACAAAUUUAUUGUACUCACAAGCGCAAGAAUCUAUUGUAGAAUAGAUUUUAUGGUGGCGAGUGUCAAUCCCACGAGAACGUAAAUUUAAUUAUGUGUAGGGUUAAUUUUCUACAUGUAUAUGUGAGAAGGUUGGAAGUGAAUUUUUUUAAUCUUAAGAUUUAAAAUAAAAUGGCGGGAAUAAAUUAAAGAUGGAAUCAAUGCAAAUAAAACGCUUAAGUCUCUGGAUUCACACUCAACAUUCAUCAUCGGUUUAAUAUUUUCUUUUUAGUUCCAAUUAAUUCAUGAGGGGGUAUUUCCACUCCUCAUGAUCCUCAGUCUAAUAAAUAUCAUAUCAAGCGCUCAGUGUGCCAGAGGGUAAUGAUCUUUCACUAAGUGUGGUAUUAAAAACACGUUGUGCCGAUUGAUAAUAAUCCUUCUAUCGACAAGGUGGCAAGACCAUCCAAUAAAUAACUUUGAUACACUCUCUGUCGACAAUGAGUCAAGAUGACCCAUAAAAUGCUAGAGGGGAAUUUUCUCUCUAGUUAAGAUGGUGCUAAGUGCUCAUUAUGCCAGACAGUAACGAUCUUUCACUAAAGAGCCGGUAUACCGUGCAAAAUCCAGACAAGAUACACUGUUUGUCAACAAUUAGUCAAAAUGACCACAUAAAUCAGAGAGAAAAAGAAAAUAAACUUACCUAAUUAAGCUCAUCGAUCGUGCUGAUUCUUCACCUUUAACCCAAGCUUGAAACUAAACAAGCCCUCAUAAUUAAACAAGGGGUAAAAUGGUAAUUUGAUUAUAAUAUGUAAAAAACACAAGCUGGAGAGAGAAUUACAGAAAAUGAAACUAAAAAAUGGAUUGAGGGACGUCAAAUUAGGGGGAUGAACCCUCUAAUUAUAGAUACAAUAGGUAAAUAUAGACCAUCAGAUGAAAACAAUUCAGAUGCUCAGGAUUGCGUUACGUGGCAAAUUUUGAUUGGUUGGAACACAUCAUCAAUCAACACCACAUCAGCAUUUUGUAAAUAAGAUAUUGCCACAUCAUCAAUCAAAGCCAUAUUAGUAUUUCAGUCCAAUAACAUCCUGCCACAUCAUCGAUCAACGCCACAUUAUCAGUCAAUGUCACAUCAUUGCCACAUCAUUGGUUUAAUAAGAUGCUGCCACGUUAUCGGUCAAUGUCAUAUCAUCGGUCAAUAUCCGUCAUCGUAUCGUACAGGUGAACAGUGUCGUAAUUGUGAAUAAUAUCGUAUAUGUGAAUAGUACUGUAUACGUGAAUAGUAUUGUAAUUCUCAAUGCCAUAUCUCCAGUACUCAACACACUACCCAACUAGCUUAUUGUUAGUCCUCAACAAAUUAAGCAAUGAAAUCUAGCAAAAUUCAAACUGAAAUAUGUUUAUUAAAUAAAUGAACUUUUCCAAAAAAUUGCAUUCACCCCAUUUGCUAAUCAACCAUCAAACAAAAAUUCAGCAAACUGUCUUUAGUGCUUAACAAUGUUUGACAUAAUGAUUAUGGGGUUCCGUCAAAAUAAAACAAUCUUUUUAUUCUUACCAUCUCAUUCGAGUUUCUUCCAUAGGCAGCAGGUUUAUUUAUAUUAUUUCUUUAACUAACUCUAUUUGUUUUGUGUGAACACUCUUUACUUACUGAGGCAAAAGGCUCGGUUACUAAGAAAAAGUUGGGUUGGACAAAUUGAACUCUCACCGUUCGACGCGACCACUCUCUGCUUACUGAGACAGAAGGCUCGGUUACUAAGUAAGAGUUCAUGCAAUUUUGAUCAUCUCUCACCGUUUGACGCAAAUACUUUUUGCUUAGUGAGCCAAGAGACCUAGUUACUAAGUGAGAGUGUCUAUUCUUCUUUUUUUUUUCUCUUUCUUUUCUUUUUUUUUUUUGGUAUAAUGACCACCGCCUUUAGAUCUAUAACCAAUAUGAUUUCGAAAUGUUAUUUGAUAAUGGUUAUAUCCAAUACUAAUCGUACAAAAACAAAAAUCCAUUAAGGAAUUGGAUUAGUCAUGAUUUUCUUUUUAAUCAAAAACUCAUAUUUUGUCUUUUAAUAAAAGAAAACAUAAUAUCAAUUUUUAUUGCACUCUUGAUUUACUACUGCAGGAGCAUAUAUGUGCUACAAAAUCAUGUGUCCUCUAAUAUGCUUUUUUUUUAAAUAUUUUUCUCUCCACAUAAGUUCAUAUGAGAGAAUCAGUUGAGCUAUUGAAGUUAUCUUUUUUGUGUGUGUGUAUUAAGCUUAUAUAUUAAAUUUUACCUUCUUCAGUGUCAUGAUCAUAAAAGAAAAUCACAGUCUUUUACAAUCCUUCAAAGAUUGACUUCUUUUACUAAAUAUAUUUAGUGCUAUUCGUGAUAUCAAACAUGUGAAUAGUAAUUAGAUUUUGGUAAUUCAAUAUAAUCAUAAAAAGAAUCAUUCAUCAAGAAUUCAACAAAAAAAUUCAAAUCAAUUAAAAGGGUCAAGUACAUAUAUAUGUUACUUAUAGUUCAUUCCUAUAUUUUGUUAUAUCAAACUAUUCUUGAAAAUUAUUAAUAUAAAAUAAGCAUGCAAAAAUUUGUCAUUAAAAGUCUAAGAGGUUGAAAAUAAAGCCAACGAAGUGAAGAAACUAUUCAAAGUAGAAACGAAUAAUUUUCUUUUAUUAAUGACCGCAUUCACUCAAAUACUUUUGAAUAUCAUAUUUUUUCCUUCAAAGAAACAAUUUUGCUUCAUAUGGAAAAGGAAAUUCGUAUGUAGCCUUACAUGAUUUAUACAUAAAUUCAUAAUAUUUGUGUAGUCCUUCAUGAACAUGUGAAAUAUACACUUAUAUAGUGAAUCCUUCGUGAACAAGAUGUUAGUGAAUAACAUCAUAAUUUUGGAAUAGUCCUUCAGGAACAUAUUUUGAAAGAAAAUCUUCAUUAUGUAUAGUGCGAUCCUUAGAACAGCACUACUAUCAAACUAUCUUUAAAAGAGUUCCUUGAUCAAAAGAAUUUAUUUAUCAUUUUUCACAGUUUAAAAAAAUAAAAUAAAUUACGUAGAAAUAAUUUGAAGAUUUCCUAAAUAAGCAUCAAAUAAAUGCUAAUUUAUUGCAUGAUACUUAGAAGAAACCAUAAAUAAAAAUUAAGGAUUUACAAUUUUAAAGAGAAGCUGGGAGUUUAAAUUUUCUUGCCAUCUUGAGGGAGAAUAAUAAGACCAAAAUAAUAUUGAUGAAACAAAAUAAUCAAUCAAACAUUUGAUUGUCUGUAUCUUAAUCAGUGAUUAAGAAAAAUUGGUUGUUAAUUAACAUAAAAAUUGAUUGACUCAAUAUUUAUGAAUAGAUCAUUAUUUCUAAAUUAUGUUAAUUAUAUAUAUUUCAAAUACUUAUAAGAAUUGAGUUUGCUUACGGUUUAUUAAAUAUAGUCUCUUAAAAGUUUUCAUGUGGCCCAUACAAAGCUAACAUUACUCUGUUAUAGCAUUUCGGGCAUCCAACAAGAUCCUCUUCUUCACUUAUUGUUAGAACUAGAGCUAACAAAUUAAUUACUUAAUCACGGCUAAGUUUGGAAUUAAAAAUCAAACUAAAUUAUCUAAUUGGUUGAGUUCGGUUUCCGUUUGUAUGGGCCACAUGAAAUUUUCUCUCUCAUCUUCUCUCGUCUGCUAAUCGCAUCUUUCUCUCUUUCGAUUCUCUAAUUUCUCUCUUGGAUUUGGUUACCAAGCACCACAACAACAACAACAACAAUAAUAAUAAUUAUUAUAAUUAUAAUAAUAAUAAUAAUAAUUAUUAUUAUUAUUAUUAUUAUUAUUUUCCCUAUAUUAAACAAGUAGUCAUUUAUGAAUUUUGAGUGAAAAAUUCACUCGGCUGUGGCAGAUUUUGUGCCUUAAUUACAAGUAGUCGAUUUCACGCAUUCAUCAUCACCAUUACUAUGUUCAUUAUUAUUUGCUAUUGUUUUUUACUUUUUCUGCUGUUAUUGAUUAAAUUGGCAUUAAAUUUAUGUCUUGUCCAUUACAAGACUUAACAAUAGAAUCCAGUUGUAAAAUGGACACUGCAGAUGAUACAAGUGAGCAAGACCUAGUCAGAGAGCGUAGUACACUUUUUGUAAGUAUAAAUUAAUUGAUAUCUUUCGAGUUGUUAUGUUAGCGACCAUUUUAAAAACACUUCUGUAUUCGAAUUUUGGUUACGUUGAAGUGAAGGGGAUUGAGUUGCCAUUAAAAAUUAAAGUAUUUUGGUCUUUAUAAACAAAGCGCUUUUGUGGAAUAGAUCUAAGAAGAUGCUAAUCUUCUUAAUAAAAUUAAAAAAAAAAAAUCUAUUACUCUUGGUGCAACAAAUUUCCUAGUCCCAAAACCUUGUCAUAGAAAAAAAAAAGAAAAAAAAAAGAAAACAGAAAAAGAGUGAAAAUAUCUUCGGGAAAAUAAUAUAAUACUUGAACCUUAAAAAUAAAAGCUCUAUAUAUUACUAUAUAAACAGUGAUAAACACAAUUAAGAAAUUGCUAUCUAAGUCCACUCGAAAUUUUAUCAUACAGUCGUAUAUUUAUCACCUUAUGUACAGUGACGGACCUGCACGUGGGCUAGACCGGGCUGUAGCCCGGUCUAGUUUAGAAAAAAUCAUUUACACCCCUUACUUUUUUAAUAAUUUAGUAAAAUAAUUGAGUUUUCAUUUUAUUUUCAUAUAUGUCCCUAACUCAACUACCCUUACAUUUUCAUCAAUUUAGUAUAACAAUAGAGUUUUCAUUUUAUAUUUAAAUAUGUCCCUAACUCAAUUACCCAUAUGUUUUCAUUAAUUUUAUAUAAUAAUAGAGUUUUUAUUUUAUUUAUAAAUGUGUCCCUAAGUCAAUUAUAUUAUUUUCAAUUGAAAUUAGUGACUUAUUUUAUAAAAUGAUUAAAUUAUAUAUUUAUUGAAUAGAUUGAAAACAUUAGGGUGUUAAAAUUUUAUUACUGCUUUAAUUUAUUUUAAAAAGCUUCUAAUUAAAAAAUAUAUAUGUCAAUGUAAUAUAACAUCAUCACUAGACUUAAAAGUACUUACAGAAAUAACAUAUAGUAACAAUUAUCAAUAUUUUCAUAAAAUUUUAAUGUGAAUUUUCAGAUUUUAUUUAUUAGUUAUAUUAACUAAGAGGCCAAGUUAGAAAAUAAAAUUUGAGUAUUUUAAGAGCUUUUAAUAGAAGAAUCAUCAACUUCUAGUUCUUUAAAGAGAGAUAGAGCAUCUGACAAAGAAACAACUGCACCCAAAUAUCUUUUUGCUGAAUUUAGUUUAGUUUAUUAUUGAAACUUUUGAUUAAAAAUACUUUUACAAUUUGAAAGGAUGAAUAAAUUUUAAUUAUUUAAUUUAUUAAGUCGGGUAAUUUAGUACUUCACUUCAAGCAUAAAAGUUUUACUUGCAAUUUUUAAUUGAUUGUAAUUACAUGUAUUGAUCUAUUUUAAUUUAAAAUUCUUAAUUGAUUUUUUAAUCCUUAUAUAAUUACAAGUUAUUAUAGGUUGCAAUGUCAAAUUCUAUAAUUAAAAAAUAAUUUCAUAUUUGAGUUGUCUUUUGUUUUCUACUCUUUUUUUAUAAUUAUUUUUGUUUAUAGUACAUAUUUAGAGAGAUAAAGUUCUUGGUAUUCCUCCUUAUUUAAUAUACUUAUUUCUACUUAUAAAUUUUUAUGUUCGCUUCAAAAUACAAAUUUUAAAAUUUAGUCCGGGGUAAUAUUAAAUCCUGGAUCCGCCCCUGCUUAUGAACGUAUACUGUAAUUUGGAUACGUUAUUUAAUUAUAUAUAUAUUGUGUAGAUUUACCACAUUAUGUACGUAUAUAAAAUAUAACGUAUAUUGUGUAAACUCUACUAUAAACAAUUAAUAUUUGGUCAUAUUUCUUUUGGCAAAUAACCCCCUGGGAUUUCUUCUUUAUCGCAACAUGAAAUUGAAGAUAUUUAAAAGGUUUUGAAACGUUAUUUUUUUUUUUUUUUGAGAAGUUUUGAAACGUUAUUUUAAUUGAAAGGAUUUGCCAUUUUUAAUUUUGGUUGCAAAUAAUAAUUCCUUGGUGGUUACAAUAUUUUUAAAUAUCCCCAUUAAGGCUGUAGGGGCUAUAAAUCUUCAUUCUAGAUCUGUAACAUCUGACUAUGAAUUAUAUAUAAAUGAGCUAUUUUUCUUUAUCUUUGGAUAUAUUAUAUACUCUAUUGUUUUCUCCGAAACUCUACGCUAAACAAUUAAUACUUUUCUUUGCAACUUCGACAUUCAAAGACUUGGUUUAUUCUUCAGGUAAAUCGUGCUUAGGAAGAAGAGCGGCAUGAAGAUAUUUGGGUUGUAUUUUGGAGCUGCAAAAUACCGACAAUAUCCGCCCGUGGGGAGGGCUCUUUGACAUUUGGGUUGUAUUUUGGACAUUUGUCAUUCUCCAUAGUACUGGCCGGAUUCUUCAACAAUAUCCUAAUACUUCUAAAGUCAAAGACAUGCUUCUCUUUCGUUGUAUAUAUUUGCAUCUCUAGGUGAAAUUUGUAAUUGGCUGAGGACAUUUUUAUUUUUAUAGAAUGGAAGAACAGGGACUUUACGUGGAGAAAAAAUUAAUUGUAGUGGGUAUUUUCCAUAGAUAUAGCUAUACAUGUAGCAUGGCGAGCUGAUGACGGGAGUUCAUUUGACGGAAUUAGCCCUUCAAUGGGUUGUCGUUAUAAACCAGUUGGCCAAUAUAAUCAUGCAGCCUAUUUCAGCAAUCUUGUUUAUUAUGAUAUUAAUUUUGUGACUCAAGAAGCUGCAAGUAACAAUAAUUCGUACAUAUGCAAGUAAUUGUUUUGGUUGCAAAAUGCAACACUUUCUGGACCAUCUUCUGGUUAUAAUUUUGUUUUCAGUAAAAUGUAAUUUUUUUUUUAUUAUAGACAUUGUAUAAUUGUUUUAAAAUUUGGUAUAGCAAUAAAUAUGAUCUAUGUUUUGGACUGGUAGGUGGUUUUUUAAAACUCUUUCCCAAAAGUUUAUCUUAAAGUUCUAUCUUAAAUUAUGUGGUCUUCAUUAACUGAUUGGUGUAAUUAAUUUAAGUAAUAAAAAAGGAUCUGGAUCCUCUCCUAGACAUUUUUUUUCUUCUUCCUAAAUUUUUAAUGAUCCAUUGACAUGUGUCAUUAAUGAAAUUAAUUGAGAAAAAUUUAUUUUAUCUUUACCGCUUUAACCCUACCCUAAUUUGUGGACCCAUACAUGCACCCACGUUUCGGACAUGCAAUUUAACAUGCUUAAUUAUGGAUCUUUCAAAUUAAAGUUUUCAUAUUCCUUUGAAAACUAAAUGGAAAUAAAAUAAAAAAAUGAAUAUUUUGAAAACUAAUUGGAAACCCAUAAGACCAACAGUCUUAUACUAUAAUUUAAAUUUAAUUAUGUUUUAUUGACAAAAAUUAGCUAUUAUCAUUAUGAAAUGCCCAUUUCACUGAACUAUCUUUGAUUACAAAAUUUAUUUAGCAAUUCCAAGUGAAAUGAUAUUUUGAAGGAGGAAAAGACUCAAUUAGACAUUUAGACCGGGCUGCAGUUCUGGCCUCAUUUUGUCCUGAAGCUCAGCCAUGAUCCUGCCAAAGUUUUGGAGCCAUUCUAGCCACAUUCUAUCUUACUAUUAUGCACCACAUUUACUUUUUCGAUCUUCGAGACUGCGACUGGGUCAAACAUAUCCUCAAGCUCCGUUUUAACCUUACGAAAUUUGUGGACCCAUUUUACCUUCACGUGAUCGGUAUUACUACUUUUGUGGACAAGGCUACGUUGCAGUUGCAGACUCAGCUGAGUACCAACUACAGCUUUUCCUCUCUCCUGCAACGCGUGGAUGCUCCUUGUUUGUCUUCUUAUCUGCAAUUAUUUUCUCUGUGGACCCAUUCAUGCACCCACGUCUCGAAUAUGCAAUUUAACCGUAGCCGUUAAUCAUACCUAACUAUAUGUACGAUAAAAAUUCCGCCGUCGAUCCGCUAUAUGUAAGUACCAAUCAGGCAUUAGUUUUCUAAUAAGACUUUAUUUCUUUUAUUAGCUCAUAUUCAUCCAUGUGUUUAUCAUUCCUAGCUAAUUCGAUUAUUUAAAAUAACAAUGAUCCAUCAAUAAUUUUAUUCUUCGACCGGCUAAAAUGAUGUUUUUUUAUUAUUAUUUUGAUGAGGAGGUCUCAAUAAAGUUGAAAUAAAUAAAUUUUGGUCUUUGUCUCACACUUACAUAAACAAAGGAAAAAAUUAUAAAAUUAUAAAAAAAUUAAGAACCAUUUUCAAUCAUGGAAAUUCAAAUAUUUAAACAAUCAAAAUUUCAUCACCUUGAGUUGAAGAUUUCUUUUUCUUUUAUACCAAUAAAGUGAAAAUAAUACCAAACGAACUCCAAGACUAUCUUUAAUAUGUGCAUCAAUUAAUAAAACUGAUUUACCAGAAUUUCCAGCCCCUAGACUUUGCAUCAAUAAUUCACAGGUUGCAAAUUAUUCAAUUUGCAGCUCACAGGCAUGUUUAGAAAAAUGAAACCUAUACAAUAGCAUAUAAAGUGUCUGAUUGCAACAUGUUGUGCAACGCAAAAAAUUAAGAUGCAUCAUGUUGUGCAAAUGCAAAUAAAAAUCAGCUACAAUAUAAUGAACAUUAACAAUCUUGCUCAAAGUUAAAAUGAGAUUAUUUGAAUUUUUUCUGAAGAUAUUGGAUUAUAUAAAUAAUCAGUUAAUUAAAAGGUCGUUAUUGGAUUGGUUUCUUAAUUUUAUUUGCACAUAUUAAAGGGCUCAUCUCUAUGUAAGUACUAGUAGCCUGGCUCCCAAAGAUUCCUGAAACCAUUCCGCAUGAAAGACAUAUAUGCAUCAAACUAAGAUACAAAUGAGCUAAGGAAUGUUAAUGCAUUCAUUAAUUAUUCAAUUUCUUAUCUAAAGACUAAGAUUCUUUUAUUUUUUAUUCUAUCAAUUUAUUAUUGCGUAAAACAAUUGCGGGUGAGUAUAUUUAAACUCAUUAGAUCACUCCCUAUAUCCUAAAUCAAUAAAUAAUUUUAUUACAAAAUUACUGAAAAAUCCUUUUAAUAUCUUGAAUACCAAAAAAGUAAAAUUACCAUUCUAGAUGGAGGAUAAAUCUUUAAAACUACCUUAAACGCAUCUUAUUUGUUCAUACACACACAAGUUAUUAAACAACCAUGGAUGUUGAACUAAAGUGUCAAACUUAGUUUCUGGUUGUCAAAUUUUCUUCAUAUUGGACAUCUAAUCGUUUUGCAGUCAGUAACAUAGUCAAAAAAUCAAAUUAGUGGGGUAGAAUGACUGACAUAAAAUAUAAAGGAAAAAAAUUUACUGUGUUUUUUUAUCUUUUUUUCUAAUAUUUUUAGCAUUCCUCCUUACAUAUGUCUUAAUAGCAUGUUUAAUUUGAAGAAAUAAAAUAAGAAGAGAUGAGAGAUAAGGAGAAUGGGAACAAUAAAUAAGGAAAAAGAGAUAUAAUUAUAUAUUAAAUUAAAUAAUAAAAUUGAGAAUGAUCCUAUUUUUUCCAUCAUUUUUUGAUCACUUACUCUAAGGAACCAGAACUUUAAGGAAAGACAGACAAAUCAUAAAGAUUAAAGAGCAGGAAUUUGUGUUCUCCUUUUUAAAUAAAAAAUUUUCAUUUUAAUGGAUUUUUAUUAUUAAAUUAGUCUUUCGCUAUAUCAGAUCAAAUAUAUUAGAUCUUAAAUCUUGUUUUUAAUGAAAUUAAUUACGUUUUGGGCAUUUAAAUUAUGAAAGUGGACAAGAUUUGUGUGUGAUUUUAAAAUAAAUAUGAACUUGAAUUUGAUGCAUUUAAUUAAUCCAAAGAGGCAAAUUUAUAAUUUCAACUUCUAAAUAAAACAUAUCAUUUGAAUUUUACCAGUGGUUUCUAAUAAUAACUGACAGGUCAUUAUAAUAAUUAUAAAUGUAAUAUUUAUUUUUAUAAUUAUACAGUUAUGAUCAAUGCUAUGCUGUAGUGCCGUUCCAAAGGCAACUGCUCCCACUAUUCUCUUAGCGGCUCUGCCACUAAUCGCAUUCUGGCCACAUUUUAUCGUGCUAUUAUGCACCAUAUUUAUUUUUGCAAUCUGCGAGACUGCGACUAGGAUAUGCAUAUGCUCAAGCUCCGGUUUAGUCUUAAUUUGUGGACCCAUUCUACCUCACACGUGAUUGGCAUUACUACUUUGUUUGUCUUCUUAUGUACUAUUAUUUAUUAUGUGGACCCAUUCGUGCACCCACGUUUCGAAUACACAAUUUAACCGCAGCCGCUAAUCUUACCCAAUUUAUGUACGAUAAAAGCUCCGCCGUCGAUCCGUUAUACUUAAGUACCAACCAUGAUCAUGAUUUGAUUAGCUACGUCGCAAAGUCGUAUUGAUUACGAAACACCAACACCUAGGGCCUAGGCAAUAUAGUAUUCUUUUUAGGUGGCCCACGAGGAAAUUGUUGUUGAAUAAUCAUUAAGCAAGAACUUGCAAAAGCAACUUAAUUACAAAUAAUAUUUCCUCUGUUCUUAUUUUCAGUUCAAUUUGGUCCCGAGAAUAAUGAUGAUGAUGAUGAUGUUGACGACAGCAAAAAUAAUAAUUGAUCUUGCAGAUCAAUUAUCAAAGUUUGUUUGUGUGACUCUUGGAAUCUUUGUUGGCCAAUAAAAGGAUGCAUUUUGCUGUUUAAUAAGGCAAGCUCGAAAUAAAUCAAAUCCUAGUCAUACAAAAAUUCAAAUGAUAUGAGCCAUGAUCUCUUGCCAAGCUUCAGACAAGUUAAAUUAUGAACACACAUUUACGCUGUGGACCCAUUCAUGCAUCCCCGUUUCGAUUUUGCAAUUUAACGUAGCCGUUAAUCUUACCUAACCAUCCGUACGAGAAAAACUCCGCCGUCGAUCCGUAUAUGCAUUAUUAUUUUUUUUGGAUUAGGACGAAAUUAUUAUUGAAUAAUAAUUAAAACAAGAAAAUCUGAAUCUUUCUAUGAUUGUAUCAACUUAUUAUGCAUGCCUAUGUUAUUGCCCGGUUGCCUAUGUUAUUGACAUCUACUACGAAGUUAGAAAUUGGUCUUAAUUAAUUAGAUAUGUUUCGAAAUUGGUCUUAAUUAAUUAGAUGCAUUUCUCAUUUGAAUUAUUUGGAGACGUGUAUAAUACUGGUCAAGUUUUCUAAUAAGAGGUUAGUGACUUUAUUUCUUUUAUUGGCUCAUAUUGAUUUAUUUGGUUGUCAUUCCUAGCUAAUUCGAUUAUUUAUCAAUAAUUUUAUUGGACAAAUUCUUUUAUUGAUUAAAAUAAGUUUUUCUUAUUAUUGUUUUUGACGAGAAGGUCUCGAUAAAGUUGGAAUAAACAAAUUUUCAUCUAUGUCUCGCACUUACAUAAAAUAAAGGAAAAAAAUAUAAUUAUAAAUAAAUUAAGAACCAAUGUCAAUAAUGUAAAAUCAAAUAUUUAAACAAAUCAAAAUUUUAUCACUUCUGAGUUUAAGACUUUUUUCUUUCAUAUGUUAGAAAAUAAAAUUUUGAUGGAAUGUUUUUUAAAAAUGAAAUUGGGAAUUAGAAAAUUUCAUUUCCAAGACUAUCUUUCAUUGGCUAUGUCCAAGACGAAACAGAUUAAAAGCAACUUUUGUAAUUUACAAAAGUACUGUAGCAAUGAGAUGCGAAAGAAAAGACUGCACGUGAUAAUUGCGGUUAGUGUUCCCCUGUUAUCAAUUAUUGCCACCGGAUGGGACCCACGUAAUUCGUCUAAUUGAACUGUACCCGGUUAUUCGUAAUCCACACCGGGCAUACUUGAAUCAUCUGUAUAUAUUACAUUAAAUUGUCAAGCCGGAAGCAAGAACUCGAAAAAGCAACUUAACUACUCUCGAACUUUGAUUCCCGUAAGCAGAGAUCUUUGUGAUUUGAAGAACAUGGAAACUACCUGCGCAGGUUUAUAGGCCAACUUUAUUUUAAUAUAUAUCGUUUAUACUUCUUAUUUUAGUAUAUGCAGAUAUAAAUUAAAUUUUUUAUAUGAAAUUUUCAGGUAAUAACUGGUCAGAGGGUUUUCUCAUUCCAGCGGCCAGUAUUGCUGAUGAUGAUGUCAUGAACGAUAAUCUUGAUCUUCUUAAUAUCCCUCAAUAUGGAAGAAAUCCCGACUACAUGGGUUAAGUGCAGCACUGCUUUUUUUUUUUUCUGUUUUGUUUAAUUAAAUAAAUGAUAGGUAUACUAUUACCUAUCAAUCAUGGCAAUGUCUUAGUCUGGUUUAGUUCAACUUAUAAGAUUUCUUGAGAUGUACAAGAUAUCUUUUUGAGCUAAGUAUUUUCUUGAAAAAGGAAAUAAAUCAAUAAAAGUUAUUGUGUGUGUCAACAUAUUGGUUAUAUU
Molecule: long non-coding RNA, 17452 nt
Filed under: Citrus x clementina
Lineage: Eukaryota; Viridiplantae; Streptophyta; Magnoliopsida; Sapindales; Rutaceae
Description: Citrus clementina (C. clementina) long non-coding RNA (CCLE_LNC002401)
Source: RNAcentral